This is a long non-coding RNA of Cebus imitator (Panamanian white-faced capuchin), 601 nucleotides long. RefSeq lists it as uncharacterized. The record is from RefSeq and is a predicted model, not a curated record. NCBI's taxonomy places the organism in Eukaryota, Metazoa, Chordata, Mammalia, Primates, Cebidae. The transcript has 2 exons.
CUGGAAACUCUAGUGAGAAAUUCAUUUUCUUGCCCUUUUCAGCUUCUAGAGGCCACACCUCGUUCAGAAUUAAUAGACCAGAUGUGACUGGAGUGACUUGCACCCAGAUGCCUAGACUCACCAUCUGCUCAAAGAUUGCUCAGAAAGUCCUCCCAUGCAUUCCCUUGCUGCAUACCAGCCCACUCUGCCUGCAGCUGCUGUCUGCAGGACUUCAUAUCUGCCCCACACUGUUUAAAAGCUGUGCUUCAAGAAAUCGCAAGAACAUUUGCCUGCACCUACUACACUGCCUAAAUGUGGCAUAAGUUGACCUUGCUUUCUGAGAAAUGGGGCAAGAAAUGCUUUGUGUGUGUGUGUUGUGUCUGUUUGUGUUUUAGUUAAGAGAGAAAAGCAUUAGGCAGAUGGAAUGUACAUGUGAGGAUGAGGAGACAGAGAAGAAGUAGCCCUUUCCAUCAAGAUAGAGGGUUUUCUGGGGUGCUGGGUCUUGAGUUCACUCCUGAUUCUUCUUUCUUAGGCACUGUACCACCAGCCUACUGAGGUUGUGUGGGCGCUUUCAUGGGGGUUGUAUUUCACUAAUGAAAAUAAAUUUGGUGCACAAUCUGAA